UCUCAUCCUAUUGCUGUUACCUGGGAGAAGAGACCAACCCCCCCACCUCACCACAGUCUCCUUUCAGGGGGUUGUAGAGAGCUAUAAAGUCUCCCCAAGCCUCCUCCAAAUUAAACAAUCCCAGUUCCCUCAGCCACUCACCAUUAAACUUGUGCUCUAGACCCUUCACCAGCCCAGUUACCCUUCCUUGGACACACACAGCAUUUACAGUAGGUCCCCCACUGAGUUCUUAACUACUCAGGUGUACCUGCCUGCUGUAGUCCUGGUUGCACACACAGGCUGAUCCUGAAGCAAGAUGACCUUCAGGGAGCAGCAGCAGGGCUGCUCUAUGAGGAGAGACAAACAAGAGCUGAUGGUUGCCCCAGUCUAAGCAGCGCCCUCACCACAGGGACCUGAUGCCAUAAAGGUUGGGUGCAGGGGGCAGCAUACAUCAGCAGUCCCACAGAGGCAUUGAAGCAGAUCCACCCAGAAAACAUAAGCACAAGGUCCAUCUGGGAAGCAAGCUACCUUUGGAGAAGGGCCAAGAUGAACUAAAAGACAAGUUUACAAAUACACCUACAGCACAGCUCAAGCAAAGAGCAAGCCUAACUCCAUCUCUGAGCUUAAAUAGAGGUCCUGGCCAGAGGCUCCAGUGUCCUCAGCAAACAAAGAACUUGAUGAAUAACCACAUACUAUCCUUGAGCCCUGCAGUUACCCAUUCCUCUAUACAGUUUCAGCCACUUAUCCGUGUCAGAAGAACUCUCUGAACUAUCAUGAAUCCAACUUCACAGCUGGAUUCACGAUAGCCCACACUAUCCCACCCAGGGCUCUGGAGGGAUUUGAGAUUUUUUUAGUGAUGCUUAGAAUCCAGAGUUACACAGACUACAUUACACAGACUCCUGUUUCCUGACUCUGGACACAGGAGCAGCAGCACUAAUGGCAUGUCAGGUGCACUGGCAGCCAUGUAGCCAGCUGGCUGGCAGAAGAUUUCUCCCUUCUGUUAAUCUCUCAUGUCCAGUUUUGGCCGUCCCAGCACAAGAAAGACAUGGACUUACUGUCCAGCCUGGCGAACAAAUGGCUGAAUGGAAUCCAGCUGCUGCUUGAAUUGCCCAACUGGCACCUACGGAAAGGAUGAAGCUGGGCUCUUCUCUGAGCUGCACAGAGAAAGGACAAGAAACAAGAAUCAGGUUGCAACAAAGAACAUUUGGAGUGGACAGAGAAAAAAGGUCAUCUAUGGGAGUGCUUAAGCACGGAAACAGGUUGUCUUGAGGGUGUAGGAAUCUGUCUAUUUGAUCAGGCACUGGAACAGGCUGCCCACGAAGGUGGUUGAGUCACCAUACCUGGAGAUGUUCAGAUGUUUAGAUGUUGUGUUAAGGGACAUGAUUUAGUGGGGAACUGUUGGUGGUAGGUGGACAGUUGGACUAGAUGAUCACAGAGGCCUUUUCUAACCUUGAUGAUUCUGUAAUUCCAUGAUUUACCCUUGAAGACAGAAUUUAUCUGGAGAAGGCCCACUGUGACUUGAACACUGACAAAGCUCUGAGCAAGGGGCUGGAUUUGAUGACCUCCAGAGGUCCUUUCCAACUCAAUUCUAAGCCUACAAGAAAAGCUUGCUACUCCUUCCACUGUAAUGCCUCUCAUAUCUGUUUUUCACCAUCUAUAUACUAAAUCUGUCAUCUACAUCCUCACAAUAUUGCAUCCUGAUUAAUUCAAAACUGCUGUUUUCAGGCCAUCUGUUACGCAUAUCUCCCCCCCCUCAAGUGAGUAUAU
This is a long non-coding RNA of Phasianus colchicus (ring-necked pheasant), 1746 nucleotides long. Lineage: Eukaryota; Metazoa; Chordata; Aves; Galliformes; Phasianidae. The record is from Ensembl.